CCCACCCCUCCGCGCGCGCGGUGGGUGCCUGCCACGCUCGCGCUCCCUGUGGGGGUCGGCUUCUGCGAGUGACAGAUUAACACAGGUGCUCGGCUACGCCAUACUGACAAAUUAUGGGACUCAUGAAAUGUCAGGUUGCAGAGUCCCUGUUCUGAAGGCUUCCUGGACGAAGUCGAUUUGUUCUUGUACCUGAAGCAGGUGAUGUUUCUGCAGAGACAUCUGAAUGACAGCGGGAGUGAAGGACAAAUCUAAUAAAGCCUAAUAAAGCAUGAGCGUUGAAAUGUCAUUAAACUUACAAAGAUGGGACUCAAAAUCACCAAAAAGGAUUGUGCCAGCUUUGCAAAGUAAAAGAGAAACCCAUUAUCUGAAGCUCAGUACUGUCUGAACGGAUCCUUCAAGCAGAUUUUCUACACCAUGAGUUAUCAAAAUGAGAGAACAUUUCAUGGAGG
Long non-coding RNA from Rhinolophus ferrumequinum (greater horseshoe bat), 449 nucleotides. RefSeq lists it as uncharacterized. Lineage: Eukaryota; Metazoa; Chordata; Mammalia; Chiroptera; Rhinolophidae. The record is from RefSeq and is a predicted model, not a curated record. The transcript is spliced from 3 exons.